UACGUAGGGUGCGAGCGUUAAUCGGAAUUACUGGGCGUAAAGCGUGCGUAGGUGGUUCGUUGUGUCUGUGGUGAAAGCCCCGGGCUUAACCUGGGAAUGGCCAUGGAAACUGGCGAGCUGGAGUCUGGCAGAGGGGGGUGGAAUUCCGCGUGUAGCAGUGAAAUGCGUAGAGAUGCGGAGGAACACCGAUGGCGAAGGCAGCCCCCUGGGCUAAGACUGACGCUGAGGCACAAAAGCGUGGGGAGCAAACAGG
RNAcentral lists this ribosomal RNA (253 nucleotides) under uncultured bacterium. RNAcentral describes it as "partial 16S ribosomal RNA". It matches the Rfam family "Bacterial small subunit ribosomal RNA", at positions 524 to 776 of the family's 1533-position model. The record is from RNAcentral.